UACGUAGGGGGCAAGCGUUGUCCGGAAUCAUUGGGCGUAAAGAGCGUGUAGGCGGUCCGGUAAGUCCGCUGUGAAAGUCCAGGGCUCAACCCUGGAAUGCCGGUGGAUACUGCCGGGCUAGAGUCCGGAAGAGGCGAGUGGAAUUCCUGGUGUAGCGGUGAAAUGCGCAGAUAUCAGGAGGAACACCGAUGGCGAAGGCAGCUCGCUGGGACGGUACUGACGCUGAGACGCGAAAGCGUGGGGAGCAAACAGG
This 253-nucleotide ribosomal RNA is filed under the name uncultured bacterium. Its description in RNAcentral is "partial 16S ribosomal RNA". It matches the Rfam family "Bacterial small subunit ribosomal RNA", at positions 524 to 776 of the family's 1533-position model. The record is from RNAcentral.